AUGGAAUCAUGUGAUGCGUUGCAGAAAGCAUCCUGCAAAGAAACCAGUUUCGAGUAGCGCUUCGUCUGUAACUCCGGUCCUUCACUGAGUUAAACAGCGCGCCAACUAUUCGGACCGCUGUGCUGGCGGAGUUGCAGGUUUUCGAGCAGAUAUUGCUGCCCGCGUCCGCUUCCGGGCAAGCGUACGCUCUGCUCGUAGAGCUUCCGGCAAUCGAUCCUGGAAGGCGUCUAAGUCUGCAAUGAAGAGCACCUGGUGUGCCCAGCCGCAAAGCGGUCCGAAACGCUCUCGGAACAGCGCACCGAUCUCCUCGUGCCGCUUCUCAGUCAGGGAUUUCGUUCGCCAGUCCGGCGCGUAGUGGCGCAGCGUCAGUUGCCACACAUGCGUGUCGACGGGCACCUCGUGCGCGCAGUCCAACGACAGCAGCGCGAUGCACGAAGCGACCUUGCGCCCGACACCUGGCAAUGUUACAAGUUCCCGAAUAACCUCAUCCUUGUUUUCCCGAGACCGCAAACCUCGCAGAUACGAGUUGCCGCCGCGCGACUCCAGCUCCUUCGCAGUAUUCACCACAAAUUCCGCACGAUACCCGAAACCGUUCGCCCGCAGUUCUGCAACACUCGCUUGAGCUGCGAGCUCGGCAACGCUCGGGAAUGCGUAAUAUUCAUCAUCGGCCAAACCCGCGGGUACAGAGCCGAUCGCCCGCCCGUAGCGUCGAGCGAGAAACUCGACCAUGCCCGAGAUGCGUCGAAUAUGGUUAUUACUCGAACAUAGGAACGAGAACAGACAUUCGACCGGGUCCUGGCGAAGAACUCGCGUUCCCUGGAAGAAAGGUGCAACGCUACGAAAAUGCGGAUCACUGCUGCUCCAAUCCUCAUAUAAACUGACUAGAGAUGGUGCAUCAUCGGAUAGCCGCAAAAAAUCCUGUAGCACGAGGCGGGCGCGAACUGGAUCAACGGUAGCCGGCGCGUAGCAGUAGCGCAGCGUGGUGGCAUCGGGUCGGUAGAGGUUCCAAGCGAGUUCAGCAUGUACGCCGCACCAAAGACCAUUCUCGCGUUGUUUCCAGCGAAAAGUCUGUCCGGCUUCUAGACAUAAAGGAAGAUCCAGCUCCUCCACAGGUACGGCGAUCGCGUACCACGGCGAGAAACAGGUCUUGUGCGGAGGCCCGGCCUCGCCCAGGCUAGCGACGCUGCCCCGUAGUGCGAGGGCAAUCUUGCUAAGGCGUCGCUUCGCUCUAAGCUUACUUUCAGAGCGCACUACACUCGCACUGAUUAUGGUGGUUGCGAACCCCACAGUGGCUUCGACUCGUUUGCGGGUCAUGGCGGCGACAAGUGGAGCCCAUGCAAUCUCCGCAAUGACUGAAGCGGGAAACGCCGCCUGCGGGAAAAUACUUCGCCCCGGAGCGCUUGACGCAGCCUGGCGGCUACGGUGGUAAUGGGGGCACCGACUCCACAGGCUAAUGGGCACCUUUUCUGGGCACGCGUAAAAGAGUCGGAUUGCAGCGCGUGCUUCAGGUAACGUUGGAGGUUCUUGUGGGUGCAAGCGGCUGUUGUUACUUCGCAAAGCUGUGCACGCUGACGACGUAACGCUUGUAGUUGCCGAGGGUGCGCACCAGCGCUGCGGUAGCCCACGAACGGUUUGCGCUGCGGGGUGUGCGCUUCAGCCCUAAACCUGAAAAGGUAUUGGCUUUUAAGAAUAAAAGAAGCAGCAAGUCCGCGCUUUGUUCGUAAGGUUACCCAGAAGUAGCCCCAGCUGUUCGGAGCUGUGCGUGGCUCCGCUUCGCUGACGUGCUUAUCGACAACGUCCAGCACGGAACAGCACGACGGUAAUGCACUACCUGGUGAGGCGAAGCACGUAAGGAUAGGUUAGGGUAACGAAGCGCUGCUGUGCACGCACCUGCAACAGCGCUCGGUACCGCUUCGACUGCAGAUACGCGAAAGCUUCUUCGAAAGCACGCUGCGUAUCCGAUACAGUGCCAACCAUGAUAGACACUAGAGAUGUGCCAGACAACAAAAGAGGCCUGUAAAAUGCGCAUCGCUUCAGUUUAGCGGGUGUUUGGCCAAGAUCGCGCUUCCGCACCGAACCGCUGCCUCCAUACCGUCUGACGCUGGUCGCUCUCCGGCCGAGUCCUCGGUUCGGUAUAGGAACGUUCGAGCAAGCGGUUUCUGCGAGCGUCCGCUUGGCUACCCAGAACAAUGCGAGGUUGCCGCGCACGUUCUCGACUCGUUAACUCGAAGGGUCUUGUGGUGCAACGCGAAAGAAUCUCGGUUUUUUAUCGAUAUUUUCAAAGAAAUCACCGGUGCCGCUAUGUUCCGCGAGAACUGCACGCCGCGACUCACGUUGCGUGCUAUGCAUGAGACGGGUCUGUGUUCUGCCUCGGUUGCGGAGCGCUUUUUCAACGAGACCGGAACAAGUCUGCCUGAUUCGGUUGGAACUUGUAUCGUGAGGGUGCUGAGCUCGUGGCUUCCUGCUGCGCUCUCAUAUUCAUGGAUCAUCUUUUCUCUCCAUUCGUAGAAGGCUUCAGCAACGCGAGAGAACGUCCGAAAGGCAUGCCUGCCGGUGUGGUAAGCGCCUGCUCCUCAAUGCUGGUGUUCGUGAAUCAGACAAUGCUCGUCUGGUGGUGGAAGCGCUUGCCAAACGCCGGCACGCUUCCCGCGUCUCGCGGCUUCGUUGAAGAGCACACCAACUUGGGGAAUCGGCAGAGAAGGACACUAGAGUGCAACGUUUUAGCACCCUCUCAACGAGUUCCGAAAUCGUUUUCUGCAGCAUAUGCAGCACACAGCAACCUCUGGACGGGGCAUAUGCAGGUAUUGUCUGCGGUUCAGCGUGUCGCGCUCAUACGCAAAUCCCGUACACAUCUGCCACCAGUGGACGGACACAACACAGAAUCCACGCGCCGCGAAUGCCAAUAUACGGUACCGCAUCAGUGGCUUCUGAGUGAGAGAGAGUGAUAGAAAAAGACACACAACACAACACAACACCGCAUGCAUGAACCGUGCAUACCAAUGUAUGUCACCGGAUCAGCGGCUUCUGCGCAUGCAGUUAUCGAGGCUGCGAGGAAGACAUUGUGUAGGCUCCUGCGGCGGGUCACGGCGUCUCGAGUCAAGUGGACCCCGCCUAGAUAGUCACUCACGCUUGGCUACCGAGGUCAGCUGCCAACCGAGGCAAAAUAACGUCAGACGCUACACCACAUUCGACACGGUCAUCCGACCAUGCCACGUUGUGUUUCACAGACUAUCAACCAUAAAAAGAUGCAUGCAA
Cyanidioschyzon merolae strain 10D is the source of this 3255-nucleotide RNA transcript. RefSeq lists it as hypothetical. The record is from RefSeq and is a predicted model, not a curated record. The transcript has a single exon. NCBI's taxonomy places the organism in Eukaryota, Rhodophyta, Bangiophyceae, Cyanidiales, Cyanidiaceae.